Molecule: transfer RNA, 71 nt
Filed under: Capra hircus (goat)
Lineage: Eukaryota; Metazoa; Chordata; Mammalia; Artiodactyla; Bovidae
Also listed under: 1 other name
Rfam family: tRNA
About the family: Transfer RNA (tRNA) molecules are approximately 80 nucleotides in length. Their secondary structure includes four short double-helical elements and three loops (D, anti-codon, and T loops). Further hydrogen bonds mediate the characteristic L-shaped molecular structure. tRNAs have two regions of fundamental functional importance: the anti-codon, which is responsible for specific mRNA codon recognition, and the 3' end, to which the tRNAs corresponding amino acid is attached (by aminoacyl-tRNA synthetases). tRNAs cope with the degeneracy of the genetic code in two manners: having more than one tRNA (with a specific anti-codon) for a particular amino acid; and 'wobble' base-pairing, i.e. permitting non-standard base-pairing at the 3rd anti-codon position.
Source: Rfam by way of RNAcentral
UCCCUGGUAGCUCAACAGUAAAGAAUCUGCCUGCCAAGCAGAAGACCUGGGUUUAAUCCCUGGGUGGGGAA